GACGCUGGCGGCAGGCCUACACAUGCAAGUCGAGCGCUUCACUUCGGUGAGGAGCGGCGGACGGGUUAGUAACGCGUGGGAACAUACCCUUCUCUAAGGAAUAGCCACUGGAAACGGUGAGUAAUACCUUAUACGCCCUUCGGGGGAAAGAUUUAUCGGAGAUGGAUUGGCCCGCGUUAGAUUAGAUAGUUGGUGGGGUAACGGCCUACCAAGUCGACGAUCUAUAGCUGGUUUGAGAGGAUGAUCAGCAACACUGGGACUGANACACGGCCCAGACUCCUACGGGAGGCAGCAGUGGGGAAUCUUAGACAAUGGGCGCAAGUCUGAUCUAGCCAUGCCGCGUGAGUGAUGAAGGCCUUAGGGUCGUAAAAGCUCUUUCGCCAGGGAUGAUAAUGACAGUCCUGGAGAAUAAGCUCCGCU
Molecule: ribosomal RNA, 420 nt
Filed under: uncultured Alphaproteobacteria bacterium
Lineage: Bacteria; Pseudomonadati; Pseudomonadota; Alphaproteobacteria
Description: bacterial SSU rRNA
Rfam family: Bacterial small subunit ribosomal RNA
Source: RNAcentral